UUCAAAGAACAAGUGCAACUAAGCAGAGUGUGAAGAUGAGCAUUGAGCCUGCUCUUCCAUUUGCAGAGAGGAGUUGUCCAGCUGAUUCUGGUUGUGCCUAAUUGAUCAUUGUUGCUUCUUUUUCAGAUGUCAAGAACAAAGUGGAACUAAUCAUUUCUAUCGAGAGGUAAGGAACGCACCUCCUCACAGCACGGGGACAGGACUUAAAGGCUCUGUUUCUAUUUUCAGGUGAAAGGAAGGUCUUACCAUUCAAGGGAGGAUGAUAAGAGGCUGCUGCAUUUAAGGAAAAAAGACAGGUAAGGAUACCUGGCCAGAGGAAAGAAAAGCAUCUUUUACUUUUACUUCUAGUUCAGAAAAAGGCAAGCAGCCAUUUAUAUUCUUCAGGUUUUACCCUGUGUAGCUGGCUGUACCGCUAAGAAUCAAAGCCUUGCGGUGGAACAUGACUGACAAGUAGGUGAGCACUGAAAGGUCUCUAGAAGCCUAAUGAUCUGGAUGCUAAGGAACCUUCUCCAUUGAUGACUCUUCAUAGCUGCUAAUGAGUAAUAAUAAAUAAUUCUGUCAAACAAUGAUUGCAGGUUUUGCUCUGAGAUAUGAACAGACCAGGUGGCCAUUCCUACCAGGGAGAAGUGAGGCUAAGUGGCGUGGCUAUCCCGGGCAAGGACUUGAGAAAUACAAGUCUCCAAACAUCCAUGUGUACAUGAAGUGGUGUGGAUUUUGCUUUCAGGGAGAAAAACUGUGGAUGACCUUACUUGUCAUGGGGAAAGUGUCAAAAGCAGACUCAGGACAAAUCUGAAUCAAGUCAGCAGACCAUCAGACAUGGAGAUGAGAGAAAUGCAGCCGAUUUGAACGCUGAGGGUGUGAAAACUUCAGGAAGUUGCUAGAAGAUCUGGGAUAUCUACAGAAAGGAAACAAGCAAAAUUCAUCACUGCUACCAAGUGGAGGAGAGUUACAUAUGCUCAGGAUCUGAGUAAAAAGGAACAGGGAUGGAGCUGAACAGAUCCAACACCUUAAAGGACGAUUGGAUCUCAAAAUAUGAAAGACCCUUCAUUCAAUAAAGCAACAGGAUUGGCUCUGAGGAGCGAUGAAGGAAACAGGCAGCGUGGACAGUAUUCAAGACACAAUGUUUAAAAGUUGCUGCUGGGAUGGAAGGAAAGAAGAAAGCCCUGGAGACGGGUUAGUGCUGGGACACAGGCACUAUCCUGGAGGGGCCUGGGACAGGGUAUGUAACCAUAGCGACCAGUGGGUCCUUUCCCCACUGUGGUCCUGGCUCGCAUGCACAGGGUGAAACCGAUCGCCAUGUUUGGGGUCAGGAAGGAAUUUUCCUCCAGGGCAGAUUGGCCAGAGACCCUGGAGGUUUUUCGCCUUCCUCUGGGGCAUCGAGCAGGGACCAGCCCUUAGGGCCAUUUAGGAACAGACAUAAUAAAAUCAAUCAGAGAGAA
This is a long non-coding RNA of Mauremys reevesii (Reeves's turtle), 1439 nucleotides long. RefSeq lists it as uncharacterized. Lineage: Eukaryota; Metazoa; Chordata; Testudines; Geoemydidae. The transcript has 4 exons. The record is from RefSeq and is a predicted model, not a curated record.